Molecule: ribosomal RNA, 368 nt
Filed under: uncultured organism
Description: bacterial SSU rRNA
Rfam family: Bacterial small subunit ribosomal RNA
Source: RNAcentral
CGGAGGGUGCAAGCGUUAUCCGGAUUCACUGGGUUUAAAGGGUGCGUAGGAGGGCAGGUAAGUCAGUGGUGAAAUCUUCGAGCUUAACUCGGAAACUGCCGUUGAUACUAUCUGUCUUGAAUACCGUGGAGAUGAGCGGAAUAUGCCAUGUAGCGGUGAGAUGCUUAGAUAUGACAUAGAACACCAAUUGCGAAGGCAGCUCGUUACACGAAUAUUGACUCUGAGGCACGAAAGCGUGGGGAUCAAACAGGAUUAGAUACCCUGGUAGUCCACGCCCUAAACGAUGGAUACUCGACAUACGCGAUACACUGUGUGUGUCUGAGCGAAAGCAUUAAGUAUCCCACCUGGGAAGUACGACCGCAAGGUUG